UACGUAGGGGGCAAGCGUUGUCCGGAAUCAUUGGGCGUAAAGAGCGUGUAGGCGGCUCGAUAAGUCUGCUGUGAAAGUCCAGGGCUCAACCCUGGAAGGCCGGUGGAAACUGUCGGGCUAGAGUCCGGAAGAGGCGAGUGGAAUUCCCGGUGUAGCGGUGAAAUGCGCAGAUAUCGGGAGGAACACCAAUGGCGAAAGCAGCUCUCUGGGACGGUACUGACGCUGAGACGCGAAAGCUAGGGUAGCAAACGGG
This 253-nucleotide ribosomal RNA is filed under the name uncultured bacterium. RNAcentral describes it as "partial 16S ribosomal RNA". It matches the Rfam family "Bacterial small subunit ribosomal RNA", at positions 524 to 776 of the family's 1533-position model. The record is from RNAcentral.